This 456-nucleotide ribosomal RNA is filed under the name uncultured Sedimentibacter sp. RNAcentral's name for it is "bacterial SSU rRNA". It matches the Rfam family "Bacterial small subunit ribosomal RNA", at positions 921 to 1382 of the family's 1533-position model. Lineage: Bacteria; Bacillati; Bacillota; Tissierellia. The record is from RNAcentral.
CCGACAAGCGGUGGAUGAUGUGGUUUAAUUCGAUGCAACGACGAAAACCUUACCACCUUGACAUGUACGGAACCUUAGAGAUAGAGGGGUGCUCGAAAGAGAGCCGUAACACAGGUGCUGCAUGGCUGUCGUCAGCUCGUGUCGUGAGAUGUUGGGUUAAGUCCCGCAACGAGCGCAACCCUUGUCAUUAGUUGCUACAUUCAGUUGGGCACUCUAAUGAGACUGCCGGUGACAAGCCGGAGGAAGGUGGGGAUGACGUCAAGUCAGCAUGGCCUUUAUGUCCUGGGCUACACACACGCUACAAUGGCCAACACAAUAGGUUGCUAAGCCGCGAGGUGGAGCCAAUCCUCAAAGUUGGUCUCAGUUCAGAUUGCAGGCUGCAACCCGCCUGCAUGAAGAUGGAGUUGCUAGUAACCGCAGGUCAGCUAUACUGCGGUGAAUACGUUCCCGGGGCUU